This is a long non-coding RNA of Mustela erminea (ermine), 1786 nucleotides long. RefSeq lists it as uncharacterized. The record is from RefSeq and is a predicted model, not a curated record. The transcript is spliced from 2 exons. Lineage: Eukaryota; Metazoa; Chordata; Mammalia; Carnivora; Mustelidae.
CUCUUCUGGUCUACACAGCGCAGACUCCUGGGCUCGCGUGUGCAAAGAAACAAUAAUCCCAGGAAAGUUAUUAAAAAAUCACUCUGGGUCUGGGGCAAACCUGGACUGUGGGUCACCUUACUACUGCUAUUUUCUACUCUAUCUGACUGGAGACUUCUACUGUCCUACAGGAGAGCUUGUCCCUUUUAGGAGGUGGGCAUAGUUAGCCCCGAAUUGGAAGAGUCACAUACCUGGCCUCCCAAGGAGAACAAGUUCCAAAUUCCUUUUCCUGGUGCCAGACACUAGCCCUCCCGACCCGCUGGGCCGCGUCUGCUCCUUCCUCUUCUCCACCAAGCCCCCCGCCCCCUUGCUCUGCCCACCACAUUUUUCAGCAUUACUGGUUUUAAUUUCCUCUACCAUCCCCUUUGCAAAAACUUCUUUCCUGAUUUAAUUACUACUUCUCUUAAUUCAAUUUCACUCUCUUGAUUGUCAUUAAACUCCCAGAAUUGUUUCUCCAAAGAAUUUAACGGUGAGGCCCUCUGCUUAGAGAUUAAUUGUCAUCAUUUCGCCUUCAAACACAGGUAUUCUUACUUCUCUUCAAUUAUCUCCCAGAGAAAGGGAAGUGACCGUCCUUCUUCUCGGGGGCCUCUCUGAGAACAAACACUGCUGGGGGCUGCCUUUUGAGAGAGAGAGACAGAGAAAGCGAAGUCUCAUAGAUUUUUCUUCCACUUUCUACUGACUCUAAUCUCAGGAUCUGAGAGGAGCCUGAGAGCCCCAGGCUUCUCAAGGGCUCAGGCUGGGAGCGGGUGGAGCGAAGGCUCCAGAAGAGGCAGUCCAGCCUUGAGAAAUGAGGGCUCUCUGUCAGGAGGGUGAGGAGUGGCAGCAGGGGCUAGCUCGGGCCUCAAACAUCCUGCCCAGUUGGGGUCUCUCAGAGGAACUAAGGCUGUAGCUCAAGGGAACAGAAACACUGCGGGCUAGAAUUUCCCUUCCCUGGAGUGUCGCUCUCAGGACACAAAGCCUCCGUGCCCCACGCUCCCACUGUUCCCUCAUGGUCUCAGUACACGACCUUGACCUUGAAGAGACCUACCCGGCCCUCAAACUCUGUUUUUGCCAGCCCUCAGUGUCUUCUGUCUUUGUGGGCAAACCUCAAAAACAGUUGCUAGGGGAGGAGGGAGGAUUCCAGGUGGGGCUGCCGCGAGCUUCCUGUAUGAUUCAGUUGCUGCCCCUUCUACCCUGCCCGGGUCUGAGACCCGACCCAGCCUGGCCCCUAGGAGCUGUGCGAUCUCCAUGCUCCGCUACCCGGAGCCUCGGUUCCCUCGUCUGCAGAUAUUCAGACAUCAUACCGUGUGAAAGGGAUAAAGAAAGACCUGUGUUUCCAUUGUGUGAGGGCAAAUGAAAGAAUUCAACUCAGGCAUUCAGCACAGUGCCUGGCUCGUAAGAAGCCUUCAACGACAAGUAGUCACAAUGAGUAUUCACACACUAGCCAACGCUCUUCAAUCAAGCUCACCUCAGGACUACAAAAUGGCUGCUGCCACACCAGUCAUUACAACCAUGUUUCAGGCAGAAAAAGAUGGAAGACCAACAAAGAACCUGCCCAUAUAGUCCCAUUUUCAGGAAGAAUUUCCAGAAAUCUUAUCUAGUUUCUUCCUUUAUACCAUUGACCAGAAGGUAGUCAUAUGACCACUCUUAUCUGGAAGGGAGGCUGGGAAAUCUAACCUUUCAGCCAGGCACUUUGCUACCUUCAACAAAAUCAGGGCCCUGUGUAAGUAAGAAGAGAGGAAUAAACUUUGGGUAGGCAAACCAGCAA